RNAcentral lists this ribosomal RNA (375 nucleotides) under uncultured bacterium. RNAcentral's name for it is "bacterial SSU rRNA". It matches the Rfam family "Bacterial small subunit ribosomal RNA", at positions 28 to 404 of the family's 1533-position model. The record is from RNAcentral.
GACGAACGCUGGCGGCGUGCUUAACACAUGCAAGUCGAGCGGUAAGGCCCUUUCGGGGGUACACGAGCGGCGAACGGGUGAGUAACACGUGGGUGACCUGCCCUCAGCUCUGGGAUAAGCCCGGGAAACUGGGUCUAAUACCGGAUAUGACUUCAUGACGCAUGUUGUGGAGUGGAAAGCCUUGUGCGGCUGAGGAUGGGCCCGCGGCCUAUCAGCUUGCUGGUGGGGUGAUGGCCUACCAAGGCGACGACGGGUAGCCGGCCUGAGAGGGCGACCGGCCACACUGGGACUGAGAUACGGCCCAGACUCCUACGGGAGGCAGCAGUGGGGAAUCUUGCGCAAUGGGCGAAAGCCUGACGCAGCGACGCCGCGUGA